RNAcentral lists this transfer RNA (74 nucleotides) under marine sediment metagenome. RNAcentral describes it as "tRNA-Val". It matches the Rfam family "tRNA". From Rfam's summary of the family: Transfer RNA (tRNA) molecules are approximately 80 nucleotides in length. Their secondary structure includes four short double-helical elements and three loops (D, anti-codon, and T loops). The record is from RNAcentral.
GCCUGAUUAGCUCAGCGGUUAAGAGCAUUCGCCUUACACGCGAGGGGUCGUAGGUUCGAAUCCUACAUUGGGCA